CCUUCGUGGUUGUGAGAGGAUCGCGCCCGGCGCAGCCAACCGAGGAAUCCGGUGCGAAUCCGGAGCGGUCCCGCCACUGUCACGGCCCCCUGGGGCCCGAGCCAGACACUCGGUCUGCACCCGUCACCGUCA
Molecule: regulatory RNA element, 132 nt
Organism: Janibacter melonis
Lineage: Bacteria; Bacillati; Actinomycetota; Actinomycetes; Micrococcales; Intrasporangiaceae
Source: Rfam